GCCGAAGUACCUCGAACCCGAACUUCCACUUAAUUACGACAAUGCCACUCGUCCUCACUUUAGCUUCAAGCUCGCCCUUGGGCUUCCAAGGCUCGACCCUCUUGGCUUCUCCUUGUCCCAAGGCUCGCCCCUCUCGGCAUCUCCUUGCCUCAAGGUUCGCCCCUCUCGGCAUCUCCUCACCUCAAGGUUCACCCCUCUCGGCAUCUCCCUUACAAAGUGUCACGGUAGCACUACUCCUAAGUGCGGCUCGUGACACCGCGCGUGGCGAGGGCCCCUACUUCGCCGAGAAGAUUGUUCGUUUGCGGAUGGUUGAUUGAGGUCAAGGUUCUACGACACGCGCGACCACAUGGGCGUAGCAUCACGC
Molecule: long non-coding RNA, 364 nt
Filed under: Rosa chinensis
Lineage: Eukaryota; Viridiplantae; Streptophyta; Magnoliopsida; Rosales; Rosaceae
Description: sRNA RchiOBHm_Chr6g0250561
Source: RNAcentral